Molecule: long non-coding RNA, 4537 nt
Organism: Acinonyx jubatus (cheetah)
Lineage: Eukaryota; Metazoa; Chordata; Mammalia; Carnivora; Felidae
Exons: 2
Source: RefSeq, a predicted model, not a curated record
UAAAUGAAUCAAGUGAAAAACUCAAACUAUUGAUUGUGAAAGUCAUGCCUAAUAUAACUUCCAGCUUACAUUUUUCUAAAGAAAUGCAUUCCUUUCCUAAGGCUCCAAGGAAUUAAAUUGACUUAUCCAAGGUCAACCUAAUCAACAAAACACUGCUACUACGGACCGUCCACCAAGGUUGUGAAAUUUAUUAUGUAGAACUCUGCUUAUUUUGAUAGAACUUUUACCAGUCAAGUAGGAAGAUUUACUGAGUGUUGUGUUCUAACCCUUAAAAGAGAGUACUUCUAAGAGCAAAACCAUAAAAACAAUGCUAUCAGAAGAGGGGGAAAAUACUUGCUAGUAAAAUAAGGGUAGUAAGAUAGUAAGGUAAUAGAGGGUCAGAGCUAUUGAUGUGCACAAAGGAGGCCAGUGGAUUCUUUUGCCAACAUAAACUUCUAGCUAAUAUAAACUCAGCCUUAUUGUUACUCUAACCAAUUACACUGCCACUAUUCACAUGAGAAAAGAAAGCAGUGCUAAGAGGUGUUUUGUUUUGUUUUGUUUUUUUAAUGUUAACAUGUCAUGACUACUGUUAAGAUGUCCCUGGUAAUACUACAAAUCUGUUGGUAGCAAAGGUCUUGUAUGGCUGUGAAAAUGAGGGUUCAAAUAGAAAUUAUGAUACAUAUUAAUAUUACAAGCUAUUUUUUUAGGACAUUUGGUGAGGCUAGUCGUGUCUUAGCAUGCCUAGACCUUGUUAGUGAUUGACUCAACUUUUGAAAACGAGUGGGAAAAAAUCUGAUAAAGAUCUAUUGGAAAAAAAUAUAUAGAGACAAAAAUGGCCACCUUUUAAUAAUGAUGAAGAUAGCUAGUAACUCCCUAAUAAUUUUUAAUAACCAAUAUUUUAAAAUAUCUUAAUUGCAUAGUACUUUAAUUAUUUUGUUUAAUUUAGCCUAAGAGACCAUGUUAAUGAGAAAACUAUGACUAGAUCUCAGGUCUAGAUUUUAAGAGAACAAGGAUCUUGGAAACAAAUACCUUUUGCUUAAAGUAUUUGUGAAUUUUACCAUUGAAAAACUUUGAAGAUUGAUUUACCUAUGACUGAUAUUCAAGAUCUUUGACAUCUUAAUAUUUCAAAAAUAACUUACACUACAAAGCAUAUGUUGGUAUUGAAAAACAUGGCAAAUGUGUGGUUUACGACGAGUCAUUAGUUUAUAAUAUUUAAUUUGAAUUGGUAUGUAAAGAGAUCACAAGAUGAAUAACAUUUAGAAGCAUAUAAUUUUGGAUCUGGAAAGGACUAUAGAAAUAAAUCUAGUAUUACAUAUGCAUUUUGUAAUUGUGGAAAUAGAGAAUUAAGGACAAAUUAGAGGCAGGUUUUUUAAUUAGAAACAGCUCUUUUUUUUACUAUUUUUUUUAACAUUCAUUUUUUGAGAGACAAGAGUGCGAGUGAGGGAGGGGCAGAGAGAAAGAGAAACACACAAUCUGAAGCAGGCUCCAGGCUCUGAGCUGUCAGCACAGAACCUGACAUGGGCCUCAAACCCACAAGCUGUGUGAUCAUGACCUGAGCCGAAGUCGGGUGCUUAACAAACUGAGCCACCCAGGUACCCCAACGCUCUUAUUUAAAUGAAGAAUAUGUAGCAGCACCUGGGUAGCUCAGUCAGUUAAGUAUCAACUGCAGCUCAGAUCAUGAUCUUGUGGUUCACAAGUUCAAGCCCCACGUUGGGCUCUGUGCUAACAGCUCAGAGCCUGGAACCUGCUUUGAAUUCUGUGUCUCCCCUCUCUCUGUCCCUACCCCGCUCACAGUGUAUCUCUCAAAAAUAAACAUUAAAAAAAAGGUUUUUUUUUUUAAUGAAUAUGUAGUGAAAACAUCAAAGUCGAUGACAACUAAAAAUAGGAUACAAAAUUAUGCGCAUGUUAUGUGUGGUAGGCAGCCUUGAAAAUGACCCCCACCAUCCCUGCCUGUUGGGAUUCAUGCCCUUAUGUCCGUAUGUAAUCCCCUCUCCUUAAGUGUGGGCUGGAUUUACUGAUUCACUUGUAAUCAGUAGGGAUGUCCCUGCUGAGAUUAGGUUUUUAAAAGACUGGCUUUCAUCUUGGUUGUUCUCUUAUUCUCUCCCUCUCAGAUCACCACCUACCAUGCUGAGAGGACACAUAGGCAGCCUAUGAAAAGGACCAUGUACUAAGGAACCAGCAAUCAUCAGCUAAGGAUUCAGCAACCACUUGAGUAAGCUGAAUCCUUUGGCCCCCAGUUGAGAUGGCUAUAACCCAUAGACUUCCAGAUUCCCAACACACAGAAACUGAGAGAGAAACACAAUGCUUCCAGCUCAAGACUGGCUUAACGGCCUCCUCCGAGGUUAAUGUUAACAUCGUUCUGGACAGAGUAACAGGAAGCAUCUGUGUAUCUGACCACAAACUGAGAUGAUCCAUUCUUCCCCCAUCUGAAGUAUAAAUUCUGUUGGUAUUAAAUUGCUUAAUUGCUUCUGCUUUAUAUAUUAAUACUUUAAAACAUCAUAAAAUCUCUGGGAAAACUAAAAUGAUUUAUGACUAUGUAAAUAUUUAUUUAGUUCUUCCCAGUUGGUCAGUAUUGAUUCUUUUUUACCCCCUCUAUACUUUAUUAUUUAUUUAUUUAUUUUUAAAGUUUUUAUUUAAACUCCAGUUAGUUAACAUACAGUAUCAUAUUAGUUUCAGGUGUAUAAUAUCAUGAUUCAACAAUUCCAUAUAUCACCCUGUGCUCCCCACGUCAAGUGCACUCCUUAAUCCCCAUCACCUAUUUAACCCAUCCCUCCACCCCCUCCCUUUUUCCUCUAUAAUUUAAAGGAAACUUGUAUUAUGAAAGCUAUUCUUAGAUAUCUUUUGUUUUUAUGUUCUAGAACCAUCUAUGGCUACAGGAAACUCAGGGAAGAAUGUUAGUGAAUUAGCAGAUGCUAAGUUACCCAGAAGAGCAGAUGGAAUAAUUGAUUAUGUCCUACAAAAUGGGGGAAGGGAAUACUUAAAGAUCUUUCCUCAAGUAUGCUACAGAGUUUCCAUACAAAAGGCUGUAACUAAAACUAUAUUUUUCUUUUUUUUUAAUGAUUUAUUUAUUCAUUUUGAGAGAGAAAGAGAGCACAAGCAGGGGAGGGUCAGAGAGAAGGAGAGACAGAAUCCCAAGCAGGCUCCACACCAUCAGUGCAGAGCCCGAUGUGCGGCCCGAACUCACAAACUGUGAGAUCAUGACUUGAGUUGAGAUCAAGAGUCGGACACUUAACCAACUAUGCCACUCAGGUGCCCCAUAAAACCAUAUUUUUCUUCUCUUGUAUGUUUGUUUUUAUUUCAGGUGAUCUUUUAUGUUACUUUUUAACCUGUAGAGUUUUCAAUAUGAUGUGGCAUUAAUCAUUUAAAAAUAGAGUAUGCAUACAUUUAAAGGUUUUUUUGGCAAUAAAAAAUGUACAAGAGAAAUAAGCCAAUAGAACAAAGUAGCAUACUUUGCACUGCUCCCAGAUUUUUUAGCCUACACUAUAAUAUGGACAAUUGGAAUAUAUUGGCAUCAUUAGAAUUGUACAGAUAUUUUACUAAUCACCUUGGGACUCUUAGUGAGAUUGAAAGUCCACAUUUGCUUCCUCAGAACUCUUCUCAUUCAACCUAUAAAAUAGCCAUAUCUUUAAAAAAACGUUUUUUUAUGUUCAUUUUUGAGAGAGACAGAGACAGAGCACGAACAGGGGAGUGGCAGAGAAAGAAGGAGACACGGAAUCCGAAGCAGGCUCUAGGCUCUGGGCUGUCAACUCAAACUUGUGAACCGCGAGAUCAUGACCUGAGCUGACGUUGGACGCUUAACCGACUGAGCCACCCAGGUGCCCUCAAAUAGCCAUAUCUUAAUUAUGUAAUAGUCUUGAAGACAUUGUACUAUUUAAGAAUUCAAAAUCUAAACUAUUAAGUUAAUAAAUAUUUAUGGUGCAAAUUUUGUGCCAGGCACUUUUCUAGAGGCUUAGUGAACAAAAUAGAUUUAAAAAAAAAAAAAAAGGAGGGGUGCCUGGUUGGCUCAGUCAGUAGAUCUCAGGGUCAUGACUUCAAGCCCUACAUUGGGUAUGAAGCCUACUUUAAAAAUGAAUAAAGAAAAAUAAAUUUAAGGGGUGCCUGGGUAGCUUAGUUGGUUAAGUGUCCAACUUUGGCUCAGGUCAUGAUUUCACAGUUCAUGGGUUUGAGCCCUGCAUUGGGCUCUGUGCUGCCAGCUUCAGAUCCUCUGUCUGCCUCUCCCUCUCUCUCUGCCCUUCCCCCACUCUUGCUCUCUCUCAAAAAUAAGACAUUAAAAAAACUUUUAAAAUAAAAAAUAAGAAUAAUAAAGGAAAAAACCCUAGCCUUCAUGGUACUUACAUUUUUUAAAGUGGGAUCUGUAUAAACUAAAACAUCUCUAAAACAAUAAUUCUCUUCUCUCUUGCCAGAGUGAAGCCACUUGAGGGCAGGGGCUACUGUUUCCCCAGUAUCCUAACUGCAGUGCCCGGCACACUAUAAAUGAUUAAUAGGUAUUCCUUGAAUAAUUAAAUAGCAGAAGAUCCUUUUUGCUUAAGUACAAAUAAUGCUUCUUUAUUGCCUAUUG